Long non-coding RNA from Amphimedon queenslandica, 452 nucleotides. RefSeq lists it as uncharacterized. The record is from RefSeq and is a predicted model, not a curated record. The transcript is spliced from 4 exons. Lineage: Eukaryota; Metazoa; Porifera; Demospongiae; Haplosclerida; Niphatidae.
AUUUAUUUAAAUUUGCUGAUAUUCUUAUUAAAAGAGGUGUCAUCAAUGCUAUUAAUCUUGAUGGAGGUGGAUCAAACACUUUACUAGAAGAAGGAACUCUUGUAAACUAUCCUGGUGACUACUGUCAUGAGGAUAAGAAGCUUUACUUAUGCCCAAGGAAAGUAUCAACAGUGUUGUGUGUUCAUGAUGUUGCUAAUGACACUGAUAGUUCUAGUAAUGAUGGUGGUGGUGGGGGUCUACUCCCUGUGUCUCUCCAUGGUGUGGGGAGAAAUGUGAACUACUGAACUGUGAUGAAACUGAUUGUAAUGGAAAUGGAGUUUGUACUAAUGGAUCUUGUAAGUGUGAAGCAGGAUGGUAUGGUAGUCUCUGUGAGAAAUGGAUGGUACAAUGAGUCAGCCGGCUGUGUUUGCUGCUUCUGAUCAUCAAGAAAUAAUUAUACAUUCACUCCAUGU